Molecule: long non-coding RNA, 491 nt
Organism: Sciurus carolinensis (gray squirrel)
Lineage: Eukaryota; Metazoa; Chordata; Mammalia; Rodentia; Sciuridae
Exons: 4
Source: RefSeq, a predicted model, not a curated record
CACUGGGUGAGCUGGUUCCGUCUGCCACACAAUUCCACCAUGAUGUUCUGCCUCACCUUGAUGCUUGAGGAAUAGUGCCAGCCUUCUGUGGACUAAGACUUCUGAAACUUCACAAUGAAAGUACCUCUGCUUCACCACCCUUCUCUGCCAUGACGCUCUGGUUUACCACAGGCCCACAGCAACAGAGCCAGCCAACCACGGACUAAAACUUCUGAAACCAUGAGUUGAAAGAUAUAUUUCCUCCUAAAAGGUCUACAGCAACCUCUUUUGGGGGUUCUGAUAGAAGUCAUUAGAGUCUCUCAUCUCCACCACAGUAUCCCAGGAGACAGCAUCUUAUUUCUUGGAUCCAGGAACUGCAAGACUUGUCACAGGACCAUGGGGCAGGGUCUGGCACAAGGAAGGAUGUCCGCAAAGACACAGAUGAGGCUACUGUCUAUCCCGGAUGUGGCAUCAGGAUAAUUUAACCACCUCUAAGUGACUUUCUAUGCAGC